GGAAAGAUUUAUCGCUCAAGGAGAGGGGUGUAUCCUAUCAGGUAGUUGGUAAGGUAACGGCUUACCAAGCCUAUGACGGGUAGCCGGUUUGAGAUGAUGAUCGGCCGCGAUGGGACUGAGACACGGCCCAUACUCCUACGGGAGGCAGCAGUGGGGAAUAUUGCACAAUGGACGAAAGUCUGAUGCAGCGAUUCUGCGUGGAGGAUGAAGCAUUACGGUGUGUAAACUCCUUUUCUGGUAGAAGACGAAUGACGGUAUACCAGGAAUAAGGGACGGCUAACUAUGUGCCAGCAGCCGCGGUAAUACAUAGGGGGCGAGCGUUAUCCGGAAUUAUUGGGCGUAAAGGGUACGUAGGCGGGCCUGCAAGUCUGAUUUGAAAGCACACGGCUUAACCGUGUGAGGUAAUUAGAAACUACAGGUCUAGAGAGUGGUAGAGGUAAAUGGAAUUCCAAGUGGAGCGGUGAAAUGCGUAGAGAUUUGGAGGAACACCAGUGGCGAAGGCGGUUUACUGGGCCACAUCUGACGCUGAUGUACGAAAGCGUGGGAAGCAAACAGGAUUAGAUACCCUGGUAGUCCACGCCGUAAAAAAGGAGUGCUAAGUAUCGUUAGAUUCGGUGCUUAAGCUAACGCAGAAAGCACUCCCCCUGGGGAGUACGGUCGCAAGACUGAAACUCAAAGGAAUAGACGGGGACUCGCACAAGCGGUGGAGCAUGCGGUUUAAUUCGAUGCAACGCGAAGAACCUUACCAGGUCUUGACAGUGUAAAGAAUACUUAAGAGAUUAAGGGCUAAGAAUUAAGCUUGCUUAUUUCACUUUAUAAACAGGUGGUGCAUGGUUGUCGUCAGCUCGUGUCGUGAGAUGUUGGGUUAAGUCCCGCAACGAGCGCAACCCCCAUUGCUAGUUGCCAUCAUUAAGUUGGGCACUCUAGCAAGACUGCCGGUGACAAAUCGGAUGAAGGUGGGGAGGACGUCAAAUCAUCAUGCCCCCUAUGACCUGGGCUACACGCGUGCUACAAUGGCUAAUACAAAGAGUUGCAAAACCGUGAGGUAGAGCUAAUCUCAUAAAGUUAGUCUCAGUUCGGAUUGUAGUCUGCAACUCGACUACAUGAAGUUGGAAUCGCUAGUAAUCGUAAAUCAG
Molecule: ribosomal RNA, 1136 nt
Filed under: uncultured bacterium
Lineage: Bacteria
Description: bacterial SSU rRNA
Rfam family: Bacterial small subunit ribosomal RNA
Source: RNAcentral